This 469-nucleotide ribosomal RNA is filed under the name uncultured bacterium. Its description in RNAcentral is "partial 16S ribosomal RNA". It matches the Rfam family "Bacterial small subunit ribosomal RNA", at positions 28 to 507 of the family's 1533-position model. The record is from RNAcentral.
GACGAACGCUGGCGGCGUGCUUAACACAUGCAAGUCGAACGGAAAGGCCCUGCUUUUGUGGGGUGCUCGAGUGGCGAACGGGUGAGUAACACGUGAGUAACCUGCCCUUGACUUUGGGAUAACUUCAGGAAACUGGGGCUAAUACCGGAUAGGAGCUCCUGCUGCAUGGUGGGGGUUGGAAAGUUUCGGCGGUUGGGGAUGGACUCGCGGCUUAUCAGCUUGUUGGUGGGGUAGUGGCUUACCAAGGCUUUGACGGGUAGCCGGCCUGAGAGGGUGACCGGCCACAAUGGGACUGAGAUACGGCCCAGACUCCUACGGGAGGCAGCAGUGGGGAAUAUUGCACAAUGGGCGGAAGCCUGAUGCAGCAACGCCGCGUGCGGGAUGACGGCCUUCGGGUUGUAAACCGCUUUCGCUCAUGACGAAGCUUUGUGUGACGGUAGUGGGUAAAGAAGCACCGGCUAACUACGUG